GCUGUCAUAGCUCAAUGGUAGAGCACAGCCCAUUUAAGGCUGGCUAUCGCUGGUGACACCACACGGAACGGGAUGUGCUUACUUCCUAACCAAUGAGCACAUGAACGUGUGGGUGCCGGUUCAAAUCCGGCUGGCAGCUCCA
RNAcentral lists this transfer RNA (142 nucleotides) under Caudoviricetes sp. RNAcentral's name for it is "tRNA-OTHER". It matches the Rfam family "tRNA". Rfam says of the family: Transfer RNA (tRNA) molecules are approximately 80 nucleotides in length. Their secondary structure includes four short double-helical elements and three loops (D, anti-codon, and T loops). The record is from RNAcentral. Lineage: Duplodnaviria; Heunggongvirae; Uroviricota; Caudoviricetes.